GACGAACGCUGGCGGCGUGCUUAACACAUGCAAGUCGAACGGUGAUGCUCCAGCUUGCUGGAGUGGAUCAGUGGCGAACGGGUGAGUAACACGUGAGCAACCUGCCCCAGACUCUGGAAUAAGCGCUGGAAACGGCGUCUAAUACUGGAUACGAAACUGGCCCGCAUGGGCAUGGUUUGGAAAGUUUUUCGGUUUGGGAUGGGCUCGCGGCCUAUCAGCUUGUUGGUGAGGUAAUGGCUCACCAAGGCGACGACGGGUAGCCGGCCUGAGAGGGCGACCGGCCACACUGGGACUGAGACACGGCCCAGACUCCUACGAGAGGCAGCAGUGGGGAAUAUUGCACAAUGGGCGAAAGCCUGAUGCAGCGACGCCGCGUGAGGGAUGACGGCCUUCGGGUUGUAAACCUCUUUCAGCAGGGAAGAAGCGAAAGUGACGGUACCUGCAGAAGAAGCACCGGCUAACUACGUG
This 468-nucleotide ribosomal RNA is filed under the name uncultured bacterium. RNAcentral describes it as "partial 16S ribosomal RNA". It matches the Rfam family "Bacterial small subunit ribosomal RNA", at positions 28 to 507 of the family's 1533-position model. The record is from RNAcentral.